Molecule: ribosomal RNA, 500 nt
Filed under: uncultured bacterium
Lineage: Bacteria
Description: partial 16S ribosomal RNA
Rfam family: Bacterial small subunit ribosomal RNA
Source: RNAcentral
AUUGAACGCUGGCGGAAUGCUUUACACAUGCAAGUCGAACGGCAGCACGGACUUCGGUCUGGUGGCGAGUGGCGAACGGGUGAGUAAUGUAUCGGAACGUGCCCAGUCGUGGGGGAUAACGUAGUGAAAAUUACGCUAAUACCGCAUACGAUCUAUGGAUGAAAGCGGGGGAUCGCAAGACCUCGCGCGAUUGGAGCGGCCGAUAUAAGAUUAGGUAGUUGGUGGGGUAAAGGCCCACCAAGCUAACGAUCUGUAGCUGGUCUGAGAGGACUACUAGCCACACUGGAACUUAGACACGGUCCAGACUCCUACGGGAGGCAGCAGUGGGGAAUUUUGGACAAUGGGCGAAAGCCUGAUCCAGCCAUUCCGCGUGCAGGAUGAAGGCCCUCGGGUUGUAAACUGCUUUUGUACAGAACGAAAAGGUUUCUACUAAUACUAGGAGCUCAUGACGGUACUGUAAGAAUAAGCACCGGCUAACUACGUGCCAGCAGCCGCCGUAA